This 497-nucleotide ribosomal RNA is filed under the name uncultured bacterium. Its description in RNAcentral is "partial 16S ribosomal RNA". It matches the Rfam family "Bacterial small subunit ribosomal RNA", at positions 28 to 507 of the family's 1533-position model. The record is from RNAcentral.
GAUGAACGCUGGCGGCGUGCCUAAUACAUGCAAGUCGAGCGAACGGACGAGAAGCUUGCUUCUCUAAUGUUAGCGGCGGACGGGUGAGUAACACGUGGAUAACCUACCUAUAAGACUGGGAUAACUUCGGGAAACCGUAGCUAAUACCGGAUAAUAUUUUGAACCGCAUGGUUCAAAAGUGAAAGACGGUCUUGCUGUCACUUAUAGAUGGAUCCGCGCUGCAUUAGCUAGUUGGUAAGGUAACGGCUUACCAAGGCAACGAUGCAUAGCCGACCUGAGAGAGUGAUCGGCCACAUGGGAACUGAGACACGGUCCAGACUCCUACGGGAGGCAGCAGUAGGGAAUCUUCCGCAAGGGGCGAAAGCCUGACGGAGCAACGCCGCGUGAGUGAUGAAGGUCUUCGGAUCGUAAAACUCUGUUAUUAGGGAAGAACAUAUGUGUAAGUAACUGUGCACAUCUUGACGGUACCUAAUCAGAAAGCCACGGCUAACUACGUG